CAGCCGUAAACAAUGUGCGUUAGGUGUGUCGGUAACCACGUGUUACUGAUGCGCCGAAGAGAAAUCGUGAAACGCACCACCUGGGAAGUACGGUCGCAAGGCUGAAACUUAAAGGAAUUGGCGGGGGGAGCACCACAACAGGUGGAGCCUGCGGUUUAAUUGGAUUCAACGCCGGACAUCUCACCGGAUAAGACAGCUGAAUGAUUGUCAAUCUGAAGGUUUUACAUGACUAGCUGAGAGGUGGUGCAUGGCGUCAGUGACU
This 262-nucleotide ribosomal RNA is filed under the name uncultured archaeon. Its description in RNAcentral is "partial 16S ribosomal RNA". It matches the Rfam family "Archaeal small subunit ribosomal RNA", at positions 748 to 1008 of the family's 1478-position model. The record is from RNAcentral.